GUGUUUGCUUCAGCAGCACUUAUACUAAAUUGGAAUGAUACAGAGAAGAUUAGCAUGGUCCCUGUGCAAGGAGAAAAUGAAAGCACAAUCCAUAAACUGU
This 100-nucleotide small nuclear RNA is filed under the name Canis lupus familiaris (dog). RNAcentral also lists the same sequence under 1 other name. The record is from RNAcentral. Lineage: Eukaryota; Metazoa; Chordata; Mammalia; Carnivora; Canidae.